AUUUCUCUGAGAUGUUUGCAAGCGGGCCAGUCCCCUGAGCCGAUAUUUCAUACCACAAGAAUGUGGCGCUCCGCGUUUGGUGAGCAUGCUCGGUUCGUCCGAGAAGCCUUAAAACUGUGACGACACAUUCACCUUGAACCAAGGGUUCAAGGGUUACAGCCUGCGGCGGCAUCUCGGAGAUUCC
This 184-nucleotide non-coding RNA is filed under the name Salmonella enterica subsp. enterica serovar Heidelberg. RNAcentral describes it as "6S RNA". It matches the Rfam family "6S / SsrS RNA". From Rfam's summary of the family: E. coli 6S RNA was the first non coding RNA to be sequenced, but its function was unknown until recently. It consists of 184 nucleotides that fold into an extended hairpin structure with a large single-stranded internal bulge. The 6S RNA specifically associates with RNA polymerase holoenzyme containing the sigma70 specificity factor. The record is from RNAcentral. Lineage: Bacteria; Pseudomonadati; Pseudomonadota; Gammaproteobacteria; Enterobacterales; Enterobacteriaceae.